Molecule: unclassified non-coding RNA, 380 nt
Filed under: uncultured Actinomycetes bacterium
Lineage: Bacteria; Bacillati; Actinomycetota; Actinomycetes
Description: uncultured actinobacterium contains 16S-23S intergenic spacer region
Source: RNAcentral
UCCGAGUUGACCCCGGCAGUCUCCUGCGAGUCCCCGCCAUUACGCGCUGGCAACACAAGACAAGGGUUGCGCUCGUUGCGGGACUUAACCCAACAUCUCACGACACGAGCUGACGACAGCCAUGCACCGCCUGUGAUGGUGUCCCGAAGGAAAGGUGUGUUUCCACACCGGUCACCAACAUGUCAAGCCCAGGUAAGGUUCUUCGCGUUGCGUCGAAUUAAACCACAUGCUCCGCUGCUUGUGCGGGUCCCCGUCAAUUCCUUUGAGUUUUAGCCUUGCGGCCGUACUCCCCAGGCGGGGUGCUUAAUGCGUUAGCUCCGGCACGGAGAGGGUUGAAGACCUCCCCACACCUAGCACCCAACGUUUACGGCUGGGACUAC